UACAGAGGGGGCAAGCGUUAUUCGGAAUUAUUGGGCGUAAAGGGCGCGUAGGCGGCCAUUCAAGUGACGGGUGAAAGCCCUCGGCUUAACCGAGGAACUGCCUGUCAGACUGGAUGGCUUGAGACCGGGAGAGGUGAGUGGAAUUCCCAGUGUAGCGGUGAAAUGCUUAGAUAUGACAUAGAACACCGAUAGCGAAGGCAGCUUGCUACACAAUCAUUGACACUGAGGCACGAAAGCGUGGGGAUCAAACAGG
Molecule: ribosomal RNA, 253 nt
Filed under: uncultured bacterium
Lineage: Bacteria
Description: partial 16S ribosomal RNA
Rfam family: Bacterial small subunit ribosomal RNA
Source: RNAcentral